GACGAACGCUGGCGGCGUGCUUAACACAUGCAAGUCGAACGGAAAGGCCCUGCUUUUGUGGGGUGCUCGAGUGGCGAACGGGUGAGUAACACGUGAGUAACCUGCCCUUGACUUUGGGAUAACUUCUGGAAACUGGGGCUAAUACCGGAUAGGAGCUUCUGCUGCAUGGUGGGGGUUGGAAAGUUUCGGCGGUUGGGGAUGGACGCGCGGCUUAUCAGCUUGUUGGUGGGGUAGUGGCUUACCAAGGCUUUGACGGGUAGCCGGCCUGAGAGGGUGACCGCCGACAUUGGGACUGAGGUACGGCCCAGACUCCUACGGGAGGCAGAAGUGGGGAAUAUUGCACAAUGGGCGGAAGCCUGAGGCAGCAACGCCGCGUGCGGGAUGACGGCCUUCGGGUUGUAAACCGCUUUCGCCUGUGACGAAGCGUGAGUGACGGUAAUGGGUAAAGAAGCACCGGCUAACUACGUG
RNAcentral lists this ribosomal RNA (468 nucleotides) under uncultured bacterium. Its description in RNAcentral is "partial 16S ribosomal RNA". It matches the Rfam family "Bacterial small subunit ribosomal RNA", at positions 28 to 507 of the family's 1533-position model. The record is from RNAcentral.